UUGGCCUCGUUGUCCACCAGACAUGGCCCUUGCGGGUGCGGCUCCCAGGGAGCAGCCCCUGGUGCAGGCUGGGGGGACCCCCCAGGGCCACCAGGGCUGUGGGCCAGGAUCUGAGGACAGGACAGCUUUGUGUGUUGCGGGCCCCGGGGCCCCGCGGUCCCUCUGGGUUCUGGAUCGCCCUUCCAGCUGUGGAGGCUCCAAAAAGGUCGCAGAGGCCCCACGCACCCACACACACCCCCACACACACACCCUGGGUGCUUCCCCCUCAGCUUCAGGCUCCAGCACCCACUUUGGGGGUAUGGCAGCACCCCGUUCCCCAGGGGGUGUGGGCAGACCCAGUCUUUCCAGCCCCUGGGCCUGCAGGGUGGCUCUGCCCCCGCUGAGCACGGCCAGUCGCUUCUUGGGCAUGUGGAGGGCCCAACGGCUGCACCAGGACCCCUGGCUUUGGGGGAGGGGCAAGAAAUGAAAAGUUCUGCCCCCCCAAACGGAAGCUGCCCCAGGCCAGGCUGGGAACCUGCCCUGAGCUGCUGAUGUCUCACCACCAGGCUGUGUGCCUGAGGCAGGACCCAGGAGAGCGGUGGCCAGGGGCAGAGUGUGUGACACGCCAGGCCUCCCCGCCUAUGGUUACGGCACCACUACAGCCCCUUCCCAGGGGAGGGGUGUCUGUCCGGCCUCCGUCCCGUGAGCCCAGUCCUUCCCCCGGAGCCUGACGUCAGGCCUGGCCACAGCUCUGCACCGACCCAGCACAGCUCAGCCGUCAGCCCAGACCGAGGGAGGCCGGAGUUGGGGUCCCAGCUGCCCCCCGCCACCAGCUGGGACCUCAGAACCCCUCUCUGUCCAGAUUCAACCUUGCCCCCUGCGGGCCUGGGAGUACCCACCUGCGUUUCCCCCCCCACCCCAGUACCCAGAGCUGGACCUCAGCCGCUGCCCUGCCUGCUGCCGGGGCUGGGGCCGGGGAAGGGGCUGGAGACAGGCCGGGCCAUGGUCAACUCCGCCUUGCCAGAGGCCGAGGCCUGGGAGGGCGCAUGGCUGGGUCUCCAGCCGUCCCCCGUGCCGGGCCCCUGGCUGGACGGUCCCAGCUGGCGUGGCCGGAGGAGGGCUUCCUGGAGCACACGACACGGCAGGUGUUGCCCGGCUGAGCUGCAGGAAGCAAAGCUGUUCCAGCAGAGAGGACAGCCUGAAAGGACCCAGGUCGCAAGGAGCUGGCACCCUGGGAUCGAGGGAGUGAGAAUCGCUUGAUGUCACCUCACCUGGCACAGGGGCCAGCGCGGGUGACGGGGAGGGACCCUGAGGUGCGUCGUGGUCCUAGACUACCUGUCUACGGUGUCUCAGAGGGAAGCAGUUGGUCCGGCGGGGAGGGGACGCGGCGCCAGCAGCAGCUGCUCACGGAAGGGCUGGAAGGGGCCGCAGGCCGGCCUAGAGCAGCCACCAGAAUCGGAAAACAAGGGUGCUCUGCCCUGGAGCCUCCAGAGCCCAGCCCUGCACACACCUUGGUUUCAGGCCAGGAGACCGCCUGGGGCCUCGGAACGCCAGGGCUGCAGGAUGAAUCGGUGUUGUUUUAAGCCACUGGGCGCGUGCUCACUGUGUCAGCGGUGAUGGAAUACCAGGAAGCAUCAGCUGGAAGGUGGAGUGGGUGGCCGGCAGGACCUCCAGGCCUGGCCCAGAGCACCGACCCUCCUUCUGGCCAUAGGGAGCCAAGUAGGCCCGGGGCUCAGCUCUUCCCGGCAUCGCUGGGGUGGAGUCUCGGGGUGAGGGUGGGGCUUUGAUGGGGAGGAGGGCCUGGCGUGGUUAUCACCCCCAAUCCCACUUUUCCAACCCAGCCUCCGCCUCAAGCCCCAGUCAGGGGAACAGGGGCCAUGGCAGGAGCUUAAGGUCCAAGGGGCCCAGCGAGCUGUCCAUUAGUGCCAGCUGCGGGGAGACCGCCCAGGCAGCCGGACCCUUGACCUUCUCUGCUGGCAUAAUCCUGGAGAGCUUCUCGGCCUGACCAGAGGCAAGGAGGAAGCCUCGGUCCUGGACAGGGUUCUCGUACAGCGGAGAAGCCAGAGCAGACAGGUGUCUGGGGAGAUGACAAAGGAGACCUGUGGUGGGAGACUGCUGCUACGGCACCAGUCCCAGCAGUCAACGAUGGGGCCCAACAAGGCACAGGUGAGGAGGCCCCGCCGUGUGGGAGAGUCAAGAGACCACAGCAUUUGGGGCUGUCGUCGCCUCUGGUCAGCCGCCGCCACCGCCUGUGUCACUGGACAGCUGGGUUUAAGCACAGGGGAACCACAGCUCGGAAUCUCAGCACGGGUCUCAGCAGGCGAACGGUAGAAAGGGCUCUGGUUGGUGGAGGUCCCGUCAUGGCUCAGUGGUUAACAAACACGACUAGCAUCCGGGAGGGCGAGGGUUUGAUCCCCGGCUUCGCUCAGUGGGUUAAGGAUCUGGUGUUGCCGUGAGCUGUGGUGUAGGUUGCAGACGUAGCUCGGAUCCCAUGUUCCUGUGGCUGUGGUGGAGGCCAGCAGCUACAGCUCCGACUCAGCCCCAGGCCUGGGAACCUCCAUGUGCCACGGGUACAGCCCUAAAGAAAAC
RNAcentral lists this long non-coding RNA (2568 nucleotides) under Sus scrofa (pig). Its description in RNAcentral is "lncRNA (ENSSSCG00040063061.1)". Lineage: Eukaryota; Metazoa; Chordata; Mammalia; Artiodactyla; Suidae. The record is from RNAcentral.